RNAcentral lists this ribosomal RNA (534 nucleotides) under Eucalliaxiopsis sp. HWI. RNAcentral's name for it is "partial large subunit ribosomal RNA". It matches the Rfam family "Bacterial large subunit ribosomal RNA", at positions 1885 to 2625 of the family's 2925-position model. The record is from RNAcentral. Lineage: Eukaryota; Metazoa; Arthropoda; Malacostraca; Decapoda; Eucalliacidae.
GUCUGCUUGUUAUAAAAAGCAGUCUAACCUGCCCACUGAACAUUUUAAAGGCCGCGGUACUCUGACCGUGCGAAGGUAGCAUAAUAAUUAGUCCUUUAAUUGAGGACUGGAAUGAAAGGUUGAACAAAAAGUAACCUGUCUUAGCUACAGCCGUCGAACUUAACUUUUAAGUGAAAAGGCUUAAAUAAUCAAGAAGGACGAUAAGACCCUGUAAAACUUUAUAUUGCGUUUUUUAGGUCAUAAUCUAUUAGUAUAAAACAACCUAUCUUUCGUUAUAUUUCGUUGGGGUGACGAGAGUAUAAUUCCUAACUGCUCUUUUAUUACACAAAAAUUUUUGCUCCUACGAUCCCUUGUAAGGAUUUCAAGAAAAAGUUACUUCAGGGAUAACAGCGUAAUUUUUUUUAAGAGUCCAUAUCGACAAAAAAGUUUGCGACCUCGAUGUUGAAUUAAAAUCUCCAGGUAACGCAGCAGUUACCUAGGAAGGUCUGUUCGACCUUUAAAUUUUUACAUGAUUUGAGUUCAAACCGGUGCAAG